This 322-nucleotide ribosomal RNA is filed under the name uncultured bacterium. RNAcentral's name for it is "bacterial SSU rRNA". It matches the Rfam family "Bacterial small subunit ribosomal RNA", at positions 335 to 647 of the family's 1533-position model. The record is from RNAcentral.
ACUCCUACGGGAGGCAGCAGUGGGGAAUAUUGGACAAUGGGGGAAACCCUGAUCCAGCCAUGCCGCGUGUGUGAAGAAGGCCUUCGGGUUGUAAAGCACUUUCAGUGGGGAGGAAAGGUUACAGGUUAAUACCCUGUAGCUGUGACGUUACCCACAGAAGAAGCACCGGCUAACUCCGUGCCAGCAGCCGCGGUAAUACGGAGGGUGCAAGCGUUAAUCGGAAUUACUGGGCGUAAAGCGUGCGCAGGCGGUCUGUUAAGCGAGAUGUGAAAGCCCCGGCUCAAGCCUGGGAACUGGCAUUUCGAACUGGCAGUACUAGAGU